CCCAAAGCCUUCUUUUCUCCGGGCUGAACAAUCCCACCUCUCAGCCUUUCCGCGUACGAGAGGUGCUCCAGCCCUCUAAUCAUCUUCGUUGCCCUUAGUUCUUGUUUGUAAGAAGUAUCAUUGCUUCUGUAUCCUUACACCCCUCAGGUAAUACUUGCGUUCCUGUACUUUUUGUGCCCUAGGCAAAACAAAUUCGUAGUCGGACCAAAGUGCAGCCAAAGUGCCCAGAGUGAAUCAAAGAACCUUGCCCUAAACUCACUGAGCUGGCCGGGGUAUUACAGUAUGGAUUUUACAUAUGGAAUUGGAGAGGAAAACAAGAGGGGUCAUCUUUGUCUGAAAUUUAUGAAGGGUCCCUGGCUGUGAGACUUUCUAAAAAGUGUGCAGCAAUACAUAGACUCCCUCAGCACGGCACCCAGCGUUGGCCAUGAUGUUGUCAAAACCAUCCAAAUUGCAUUUGUCUCCACAGAAGCAAAAUGGUACAAGGAGAAAACAUUUCCUUUGUCUUGGGAAAACAGAGCCAUGAGUUGAGAAACAGCAUCAGUACCUGCACAAGCCAUGUAGUGCUUCAUCUAUUUUCUCACUUCUAUGGUGUAUUCAGGGCCUAAUUUUAAAGGACUCCAAACAAUGUAGAGAAGGCUGGGCUCUGUGUGGUCUGUAACUAGUUUCUGCUUGUUCAAUGUGCUUUUAUUUUAAGGAACUUAGGUAAUUUUCUCAUAUUUUCUGACUUAUUGCUGUUGCUCUGCUUUUCGGGCUUGUAAAGAGAAGAUUAGAACUCAACAGGAUUUCAUAGGAAAUAUCUUCCAGUGAAAAGUAUGGAUGCAGCUAUUCCAGUACAUUGUGUGAAUGUAUAUUAAUUUACAAAUGUAUUAUUUGUUGAAUUUAAUUUUUAGAUAAAUAAAAAUCAGACUUAUUUCACUUA
Molecule: long non-coding RNA, 919 nt
Organism: Pipra filicauda (Wire-tailed manakin)
Lineage: Eukaryota; Metazoa; Chordata; Aves; Passeriformes; Pipridae
Exons: 3
Source: RefSeq, a predicted model, not a curated record